AGGAGAAAUUCUAGAGUAGUAUCUGGUUGCAAGUAAAAGAUGCCGCCGUAUGCUCCGCUGCAUAAUCUUGUAAGAUUUCAAGCAAAACAGCGCAUAACGAUUACAGACCGUAACUAUAAAUGGAGAUUGGAAGAAUACCAGUAACAACAAGGGAGUAAAAAAUCAGUACAUAAGCGCCAGAGGGAGGCUACGGCGGAACAAACGGAAGAAGAAGGUGGAAGCGGCGGCGAAUGAGCGGAGAGAGGAGACGGCAACGCUUUUAGCUGCUGAAACGGAGAAGGAGACGGCGUGAAGAAGAAUAAGAAAUGGCGUUAACCACAACCGGUAAUUGUAUCGCAUUAAAAAUUGGGAAAUUUUUUAAUUUUUUACUUUGGGUGGUACAGGAAAAGUUUUCAGGACUAACAUUUUUUAUUUCGUAAAUAUAGCAAUUUUUUAAUUUUGGUUGAUAUUUCUUAUUUUAUUCUUUUUAUUAU
Cucumis melo (muskmelon) is the source of this 473-nucleotide long non-coding RNA. RefSeq lists it as uncharacterized. The record is from RefSeq and is a predicted model, not a curated record. Lineage: Eukaryota; Viridiplantae; Streptophyta; Magnoliopsida; Cucurbitales; Cucurbitaceae. The transcript has 2 exons.